RNAcentral lists this long non-coding RNA (241 nucleotides) under Bos taurus (domestic cattle). RNAcentral's name for it is "long non-coding RNA NONBTAT015699". Lineage: Eukaryota; Metazoa; Chordata; Mammalia; Artiodactyla; Bovidae. The record is from RNAcentral.
CCCAGCUGGUAGCUCCACCCUUGAGCCCAGAAUAACAACAACAAAAGGAUCAAUCUGUACACACUGUUCUUGAUGGUUUUUGCAGCUUAUUCUCUUGUGCCUGUUUAAAUAUCAGUGAAGUAACCAUUUGUUAAAUGGCUAGAUAUAGACUAGCAUUCCAUCAUGUUUACAUUACCAGUGGCUGGAUUUCUUUUCAUAGUAUUUUUAGGUUUCAAGUUGCAUGAAACUUAAAAGGUCUAUG